GGGCGGUUAGCUCAGCCCGGUUAGAGCGCAUGGUCGACAUCCAUGAGGUCGGAGGUUCAAGUCCUCUACCGCCCA
RNAcentral lists this transfer RNA (75 nucleotides) under Omnitrophica WOR_2 bacterium RIFCSPHIGHO2_02_FULL_68_15. RNAcentral describes it as "tRNA-Val". It matches the Rfam family "tRNA". From Rfam's summary of the family: Transfer RNA (tRNA) molecules are approximately 80 nucleotides in length. Their secondary structure includes four short double-helical elements and three loops (D, anti-codon, and T loops). Further hydrogen bonds mediate the characteristic L-shaped molecular structure. tRNAs have two regions of fundamental functional importance: the anti-codon, which is responsible for specific mRNA codon recognition, and the 3' end, to which the tRNAs corresponding amino acid is attached (by aminoacyl-tRNA synthetases). tRNAs cope with the degeneracy of the genetic code in two manners: having more than one tRNA (with a specific anti-codon) for a particular amino acid; and 'wobble' base-pairing, i.e. permitting non-standard base-pairing at the 3rd anti-codon position. Lineage: Bacteria; Pseudomonadati; Candidatus Omnitrophota. The record is from RNAcentral.